CCAAGAAGUCCAACAUGUGCGCAAGUCAUUGGGUCCUACGAAACCUAAAGGCGUAAUGAAGGUGAAGGCAGGUUCGGCCUGCUGAGGUGAGAUCCCGGCUCUCGGGCUGGGCGCAUCACCGGCCCGUCUGCAAAGGCGGAGCAAGAGCGCACACGYUGGGACCCGAAAGAUGGUGAACUAUGCCUGAGCAGGAUGAAGCCAGAGGAAACUCUGGUGGAAGUCCGUAGCGAUUCUGACGUGCAAAUCGAUCGUCGAACUUGGGUAUAGGGGCGAAAGACUAAUCCAACC
Molecule: ribosomal RNA, 288 nt
Filed under: Clanculus cruciatus
Lineage: Eukaryota; Metazoa; Mollusca; Gastropoda; Trochida; Trochidae
Description: partial 28S ribosomal RNA
Rfam family: Eukaryotic large subunit ribosomal RNA
Source: RNAcentral